UCCGUGUUGCUUGCCCAAUGUGAUGGAAAUUGAUCCCGGAUGAGUCCUAAUUUUUACCUCUCACCACUUGGUGGUGUUAGGUUGACGUAGAAGUACUGCCCGUUCUCCUUGAAUGCUUCGCCCUUUUGCGUUGCACUCGUGGCUCAUUGGGCAGCUACUACUAGUUCCCUCGGAUACAGAACUUUCGAAGGGUGCAUAGCAUGUUGCUGUUGCAUACCCAUAAAAUGUUCAUGGCCCGAUGCGUACGACGGUUGUGCCCGCCUUGGUCCCCGUCUUUAACUAGUUUGGACGGGUCUCAUGCGGUGCUGACGUCGCAGAGGAAUGCUACCUGGUUGAUCCUGCCAGUAGUCAUAUGCUUGUCUCAA
RNAcentral lists this unclassified non-coding RNA (365 nucleotides) under Pouteria subsessilifolia. RNAcentral's name for it is "partial contains external transcribed spacer and 18S ribosomal RNA". Lineage: Eukaryota; Viridiplantae; Streptophyta; Magnoliopsida; Ericales; Sapotaceae. The record is from RNAcentral.